UACGUAGGGCGCAAGCGUUUGUCCGGAGUUACUGGGCGUAAAGCGUGCGCAGGCGGUUUUGUAAGUCAGAUGUGAAAUCCCCGGGCUUAACCUGGGAACUGCGUUUGAAACUACAAGGCUAGAGUGUGGCAGAGGGGGGUGGAAUUCCACGUGUAGCAGUGAAAUGCGUAGAGAUGUGGAGGAACACCGAUGGCGAAGGCAGCCCCCUGGGUUAACACUGACGCUCAGGCACGAAAGCGUGGGGAGCAAACAGG
This 254-nucleotide ribosomal RNA is filed under the name uncultured bacterium. Its description in RNAcentral is "partial 16S ribosomal RNA". It matches the Rfam family "Bacterial small subunit ribosomal RNA", at positions 524 to 776 of the family's 1533-position model. The record is from RNAcentral.